Molecule: ribosomal RNA, 253 nt
Filed under: uncultured bacterium
Lineage: Bacteria
Description: partial 16S ribosomal RNA
Rfam family: Bacterial small subunit ribosomal RNA
Source: RNAcentral
GACGUAGGGCGCGAGCGUUGUCCGGAUUUAUUGGGCGUAAAGAGCUCGUAGGCGGCUUGUCGCGUCGGCUGUGAAAACCCGCGGCUUAACUGUGGGCGGGCAGCUGAUACGGGCAGGCUGGAGUUCGGUAGGGGAGACUGGAAUUCCUGGUGUAGCGGUGAAAUGCGCAGAUAUCAGGAGGAACACCGGUGGCGAAGGCGGGUCUCUGGGCCGAUACUGACGCUGAGGAGCGAAAGCGUGGGGAGCGAACAGG